GACGAACGCUGGCGGCGUGGAUUAGGCAUGCAAGUCGAACGGUAUCAUCCUUUCGGGGGUGAGAGAGUGGCGAACUGGUGAGUAACACGUAGGUUAUCUACCCUCAAGACGGGGACAACCCAGGGAAACUUGGGCUAAUACCGGAUGUGAGCAACUUUUAGUUGUUUGAAAGGUGGCGUAAGCUGUCGCUUGGGGAUGAGCCUGCGUCCUAUUAGUUAGUUGGUGAGGUAACGGCUCACCUAGGCAAUGAUAGGUAGGCGGCCUUAACGGGUGGUCGCCCACACUGGGAUUGAGAUACGGCCCAGACUCCUACGGGAGGCAGCAGGUCGAGAAUAGUCUACAAUGGUCGGAAGACUGAUAGUGCGACGCCGCGUGAACGAUGAAUCCUUCGGGUGUAAAGUUCUUUUAUAUGUGAGCAGUGCUUCUUAUAUUAACAGUAUGGGGAGAGAGAUAUUAGCAUAUGAAUAAGCAACGGCUAACUCCGUGCCAGCAGCCGCGGUAAACUCG
This 507-nucleotide ribosomal RNA is filed under the name uncultured bacterium. Its description in RNAcentral is "bacterial SSU rRNA". It matches the Rfam family "Bacterial small subunit ribosomal RNA", at positions 28 to 527 of the family's 1533-position model. The record is from RNAcentral.